RNAcentral lists this ribosomal RNA (2902 nucleotides) under Klebsiella pneumoniae. RNAcentral describes it as "23S ribosomal RNA". It matches the Rfam family "Bacterial large subunit ribosomal RNA". Lineage: Bacteria; Pseudomonadati; Pseudomonadota; Gammaproteobacteria; Enterobacterales; Enterobacteriaceae. The record is from RNAcentral.
GGUUAAGCGACUAAGCGUACACGGUGGAUGCCCUGGCAGUCAGAGGCGAUGAAGGACGUGCUAAUCUGCGAAAAGCGUCGGUAAGGUGAUAUGAACCGUUAUAACCGGCGAUGUCCGAAUGGGGAAACCCAGUGCAAUUCGUUGCACUAUCGUUAACUGAAUACAUAGGUUAACGAGGCGAACCGGGGGAACUGAAACAUCUAAGUACCCCGAGGAAAAGAAAUCAACCGAGAUUCCCCCAGUAGCGGCGAGCGAACGGGGAGCAGCCCAGAGUCUGAAUCAGCUUGUGUGUUAGUGGAACGGUCUGGAAAGUCCGACGGUACAGGGUGAUAGUCCCGUACACCAAAAUGCACAGGUUGUGAACUCGAAGAGUAGGGCGGGACACGUGGUAUCCUGUCUGAAUAUGGGGGGACCAUCCUCCAAGGCUAAAUACUCCUGACUGACCGAUAGUGAACCAGUACCGUGAGGGAAAGGCGAAAAGAACCCCGGCGAGGGGAGUGAAAAAGAACCUGAAACCGUGUACGUACAAGCAGUGGGAGCACCUUCGGGUGUGACUGCGUACCUUUUGUAUAAUGGGUCAGCGACUUAUAUUCUGUAGCAAGGUUAACCGUAUAGGGGAGCCGCAGGGAAACCGAGUCUUAACUGGGCGUUAAGUUGCAGGGUAUAGACCCGAAACCCGGUGAUCUAGCCAUGGGCAGGUUGAAGGUUGGGUAACACUAACUGGAGGACCGAACCGACUAAUGUUGAAAAAUUAGCGGAUGACUUGUGGCUGGGGGUGAAAGGCCAAUCAAACCGGGAGAUAGCUGGUUCUCCCCGAAAGCUAUUUAGGUAGCGCCUCGUGAACUCAUCUUCGGGGGUAGAGCACUGUUUCGGCUAGGGGGUCAUCCCGACUUACCAACCCGAUGCAAACUACGAAUACCGAAGAAUGUUAUCACGGGAGACACACGGCGGGUGCUAACGUCCGUCGUGAAGAGGGAAACAACCCAGACCGCCAGCUAAGGUCCCAAAGUCAUGGUUAAGUGGGAAACGAUGUGGGAAGGCACAGACAGCCAGGAUGUUGGCUUAGAAGCAGCCAUCAUUUAAAGAAAGCGUAAUAGCUCACUGGUCGAGUCGGCCUGCGCGGAAGAUGUAACGGGGCUAAACCAUGCACCGAAGCUGCGGCAGCGACACUAUGUGUUGUUGGGUAGGGGAGCGUUCUGUAAGCCUGCGAAGGUGACCUGUGAGGGUUGCUGGAGGUAUCAGAAGUGCGAAUGCUGACAUAAGUAACGAUAAAGCGGGUGAAAAGCCCGCUCGCCGGAAGACCAAGGGUUCCUGUCCAACGUUAAUCGGGGCAGGGUGAGUCGACCCCUAAGGCGAGGCCGAAAGGCGUAGUCGAUGGGAAACAGGUUAAUAUUCCUGUACUUGGUGUUACUGCGAAGGGGGGACGGAGAAGGCUAUGUUAGCCGGGCGACGGUUGUCCCGGUUUAAGCAUGUAGGCUGGUUGUCCAGGCAAAUCCGGAUAAUCAAGGCUGAGGUGUGAUGACGAGGCACUACGGUGCUGAAGUAACAAAUGCCCUGCUUCCAGGAAAAGCCUCUAAGCAUCAGGUAACAUCAAAUCGUACCCCAAACCGACACAGGUGGUCAGGUAGAGAAUACCAAGGCGCUUGAGAGAACUCGGGUGAAGGAACUAGGCAAAAUGGUGCCGUAACUUCGGGAGAAGGCACGCUGGUGUGUAGGUGAAGCCCCUGCGGGUGGAGCUGAGACCAGUCGAAGAUACCAGCUGGCUGCAACUGUUUAUUAAAAACACAGCACUGUGCAAACACGAAAGUGGACGUAUACGGUGUGACGCCUGCCCGGUGCCGGAAGGUUAAUUGAUGGGGUUAUCCGUAAGGAGAAGCUCUUGAUCGAAGCCCCGGUAAACGGCGGCCGUAACUAUAACGGUCCUAAGGUAGCGAAAUUCCUUGUCGGGUAAGUUCCGACCUGCACGAAUGGCGUAAUGAUGGCCAGGCUGUCUCCACCCGAGACUCAGUGAAAUUGAACUCGCUGUGAAGAUGCAGUGUACCCGCGGCAAGACGGAAAGACCCCGUGAACCUUUACUAUAGCUUGACACUGAACAUUGAGCCUUGAUGUGUAGGAUAGGUGGGAGGCUUUGAAGCGUGGACGCCAGUCUGCGUGGAGCCAACCUUGAAAUACCACCCUUUAAUGUUUGAUGUUCUAACGUUGGCCCCUGACCGGGGUUGCGGACAGUGUCUGGUGGGUAGUUUGACUGGGGCGGUCUCCUCCCAAAGCGUAACGGAGGAGCACGAAGGUUAGCUAAUCCUGGUCGGACAUCAGGAGGUUAGUGCAAUGGCAUAAGCUAGCUUGACUGCGAGCGUGACGGCGCGAGCAGGUGCGAAAGCAGGUCAUAGUGAUCCGGUGGUUCUGAAUGGAAGGGCCAUCGCUCAACGGAUAAAAGGUACUCCGGGGAUAACAGGCUGAUACCGCCCAAGAGUUCAUAUCGACGGCGGUGUUUGGCACCUCGAUGUCGGCUCAUCACAUCCUGGGGCUGAAGUAGGUCCCAAGGGUAUGGCUGUUCGCCAUUUAAAGUGGUACGCGAGCUGGGUUUAGAACGUCGUGAGACAGUUCGGUCCCUAUCUGCCGUGGGCGCUGGAGAAUUGAGGGGGGCUGCUCCUAGUACGAGAGGACCGGAGUGGACGCAUCACUGGUGUUCGGGUUGUCAUGCCAAUGGCACUGCCCGGUAGCUAAAUGCGGAAGAGAUAAGUGCUGAAAGCAUCUAAGCACGAAACUUGCCCCGAGAUGAGUUCUCCCUGAGACUUUAAGUCUCCUGAAGGAACGUUGAAGACGACGACGUUGAUAGGCCGGGUGUGUAAGCGCAGCGAUGCGUUGAGCUAACCGGUACUAAUGAACCGUGAGGCUUAACCUU